This 479-nucleotide ribosomal RNA is filed under the name uncultured bacterium. RNAcentral describes it as "partial 16S ribosomal RNA". It matches the Rfam family "Bacterial small subunit ribosomal RNA", at positions 28 to 523 of the family's 1533-position model. The record is from RNAcentral.
GACGAACGCUGGCGGCGUGCUUAACACAUGCAAGUCGAGCGGAAAGGCCCUUUCGGGGGUACUCGAGCGGCGAACGGGUGAGUAACACGUGAGUAAUCUGCCCCUGGCUUUGGGAUAGCCACCGGAAACGGUGAUUAAUACCGGAUAUGACCACUUUGCGCAUGCGUUGUGGUGGAAAGUUUUUCGGCCAGGGAUGUGCUCGCGGCCUAUCAGCUUGAUGGUGAGGUAAUGGCUCACCAUGGCUUCGACGGGUAGCCGGCCUGAGAGGGUGACCGGCCACACUGGGACUGAGACACGGCCCAGACUCCUACGGGAGGCAGCAGUGGGGAAUAUUGGACAAUGGGCGGAAGCCUGAUCCAGCAACGCCGCGUGAGGGAUGACGGCCUUCGGGUUGUAAACCUCUUUCAGUACCGACGAAGCGUAAGUGACGGUAGGUACAGAAGAAGCACCGGCCAACUACGUGCCAGCAGCCGCGGUAA